Molecule: transfer RNA, 88 nt
Filed under: Thermochaetoides thermophila DSM 1495
Lineage: Eukaryota; Fungi; Ascomycota; Sordariomycetes; Sordariales; Chaetomiaceae
Description: Chaetomium thermophilum var. thermophilum DSM 1495 tRNA
Rfam family: tRNA
About the family: Transfer RNA (tRNA) molecules are approximately 80 nucleotides in length.
Source: Rfam by way of RNAcentral
GGCAAGAUGGCCGAGUGGUCCAAGGCGCUGUCUUCAGGAUCCUGACUGGCAGUCCGAAAGGGCGUGGGUUCGAAUCCCACUCUUGUCA